Molecule: ribosomal RNA, 468 nt
Filed under: uncultured bacterium
Lineage: Bacteria
Description: bacterial SSU rRNA
Rfam family: Bacterial small subunit ribosomal RNA
Source: RNAcentral
UGAGGAAUAUUGGACAAUGGGCGCAAGCCUGAUCCAGCCAUGCCGCGUGAGGGAUGAAGGUCUUCGGAUUGUAAACCUCUUUUAUUCGGGAAUAAGAAAUCUAUGGAAACAUAGAGAGUGAAUGUACCGAAUGAAUAAGCCACGGCUAACUUCGUGCCAGCAGCCGCGGUAAUACGAAGGUGGCAAGCGUUACUCGGAAUUACUAGGCGUAAAGGGCAGGUAGGUGGUUUGAUAAGUCUGUUGUGAAAGCUCCUGGCUUAACUGGGAGAGGUCAACAGAAACUAUCAGGCUUGAGUAUGGGAGAGGGUACUGGAAUUCCCGGUGUAGCGGUGAAAUGCGCAGAGAUCGGGAGGAACACCUAUGGCGAAAGCAGGUACCUGGACCAUUACUGACACUCAGCUGCGAAAGCUAGGGGAGCAAACAGGAUUAGAUACCCCCGUAGUCCCUGAGCGGGCUGGCAAGGCGCAU